RNAcentral lists this small nucleolar RNA (134 nucleotides) under Dasypus novemcinctus (nine-banded armadillo). The record is from RNAcentral. Lineage: Eukaryota; Metazoa; Chordata; Mammalia; Cingulata; Dasypodidae.
GGCCUCUCUCCCAUGGGGCUGAAGAAGGGUCCUAUUUUCUCCUCAGCCAGGCCUGGAGGCCAACAUCAGCCCUCGAGGAUCAUCGUCGGGGCUGCCGUGAGCUGGGCAGCCUUGUUUACCUACCUCAGACAUUU